Molecule: non-coding RNA, 45 nt
Organism: Schistosoma margrebowiei
Lineage: Eukaryota; Metazoa; Platyhelminthes; Trematoda; Strigeidida; Schistosomatidae
Source: Rfam
AUCUAGUUGACGAGUUCCAAAUAAGACGAAACGCGCGUCCUGGAU